This is a non-coding RNA of Ictidomys tridecemlineatus (thirteen-lined ground squirrel), 833 nucleotides long. NCBI's taxonomy places the organism in Eukaryota, Metazoa, Chordata, Mammalia, Rodentia, Sciuridae. The record is from the annotation of a RefSeq genome assembly.
CCAUAGCAGGUGUUUCCUGGGUGGACAGACUUGUUUCCUCACAGUAGAGAGAUCUUGGAGGGUGAGCACCAGAAGAGGGCACUGUGGGGUGUGACCCAGGCCUGGAGGGUGACGGACACAGUGAGAACUCAGCAGAGACACUGAAGAGCUAGGUGCUCACAGAGAUGAUGGACUUCAGCAGAUCUUUCUUUCCUGUUCAAGCAAGAAUAGACAAUGUAUGUUUCUGAUUCUCAGGAAAUCUAAAGACAGGGAGAUUAUAUCUGCUCAUCUGAACUCUUCAGGAUAGAGAUGUAAAAGUGUAGAGUUCAGGACAGGCCAGAGUGGGCUGAGGAGAGGCAGAUGCAGGAAGCAGAUUUGCAUUGAGGACCUCCUUCAUUUCUCUGAGGCAAUGAAGCAGAUAAAUAAGUCUGGAGGUGCCAGGUCCGGUGCUGGAGUCUCAGGAGGGAGUGCUCUGGGGCAUCGCCACCAUGACCUGGACUCUGCUUGUCCUCACACUCCUCAAUCAGGGUUUCUGGGCCCAGUCUGCUCUGACUCAGCCUCCCUCAGUCUCUGGAACUCCUGGACAGGCAGUCACCAUCUCCUGUGCUGGGACCAGCAGUGAUAUUGGGCAAUAUAAUUAUGUCUCCUGGUACCAACAUCGUCCAGGAACAACCCAUAAACUCAUGAUUUAUGAUGUUAGUAGUCGGCCCUCAGGGAUCCCUGCUCGCUUCUCUGGCUCCAAGUCUGGCACCACAGCAUCUCUGACCAUCUCUGGGCUGCAGCUGGAGGAUGAGGCUGAUUACUACUGCUGUUCAUAUGCAGGCAAUAACAAUUACCACAGUGGGCCAAGUUGA